GGGGAAACACCACCACACCUCAAAUAAUAACACUGUGUGUCACGGGUAAUAUUUAUGCAGUAUCGGAGAAAGUCCCAACCAACUUGGGUUCUGCUGGAGGACUAUGAUCCAAAUCACAUCAGCAGGUCCACCUCUGAAUGGCUGAAGAAAAAGAAAAUGAAGACUUUGGAGUGAACUAGUCAAAGUCCAGACCUGAAGUGUGCAGAAGGCCAGGAUGCUGGGAAAGAUGGGGAUGCUGAAGAAGAUGAGGAUGCGGAAGAAACUCGGAAGGAGCUGAGGAUGUCCCACUUGACAAAGCUCAAGAACACAAAAAAAGCAGACAUGUCUGGAAAAGCAAGACAAAGAGUUUGAUCGGGACCUGGCUCCUUUUUUUUUUAGGAGAGUGGAAAGUGAAUCUUGAGGGAACAGACCCAAUAGAUUUCUUCCUGUGUAUAUUUCCAGAAGAUCUGAUGGAUUAAGUAGUGCUCAAAUCAAACCUAUAUUCACUGCAAAUUGUGUAUUCAUUACAAAUUGGCCACAUUGUUGUGGUUGGAGUUAA
Molecule: non-coding RNA, 538 nt
Organism: Doryrhamphus excisus (bluestripe pipefish)
Lineage: Eukaryota; Metazoa; Chordata; Actinopteri; Syngnathiformes; Syngnathidae
Source: RefSeq, a predicted model, not a curated record